Molecule: transfer RNA, 75 nt
Filed under: Halobacteriales archaeon SW_10_66_29
Lineage: Archaea; Methanobacteriati; Methanobacteriota; Halobacteria; Halobacteriales
Also listed under: 2 other names
Description: tRNA-Met
Rfam family: tRNA
About the family: Transfer RNA (tRNA) molecules are approximately 80 nucleotides in length.
Source: RNAcentral
GGGCCCGUAGCUCAGUCUGGUUAGAGCCCCCGGCUCAUAACCGGGUAUGCGGUGGUUCAAAUCCGCCCGGGCCCA